This 463-nucleotide ribosomal RNA is filed under the name uncultured bacterium. RNAcentral's name for it is "partial 16S ribosomal RNA". It matches the Rfam family "Bacterial small subunit ribosomal RNA", at positions 28 to 507 of the family's 1533-position model. The record is from RNAcentral.
GACGAACGCUGGCGGCGUGCUUAACACAUGCAAGUCGAACGGAAAGGCCUUUUCGGAGGUACUCGAGUGGCGAACGGGUGAGUAACACGUGGGUGAUCUGCCCUGCACUCUGGGAUAAGCCUGGGAAACUGGGUCUAAUACCGGAUAGGACCGCACUUUAGUGUGUGUGGUGGAAAGUUUUUUCGGUGUAGGAUGGGCCCGCGGCCUAUCAGCUUGUUGGUGGGGUAAUGGCCUACCAAGGCGGCGACGGGUAGCCGGACUGAGAGGUUGGUCGGCCACAUUGGGACUGAGAUACGGCCCAGACUCCUACGGGAGGCAGCAGUGGGGAAUAUUGCACAAUGGGCGCAAGCCUGAUGCAGCGACGCCGCGUGGGGGAUGACGGCCUUCGGGUUGUAAACUCCUUUCGCCAGGGACGAAGCGUUUUGUGACGGUACCUGGAGAAGAAGCACCGGCUAACUACGUG